UUCGAGCGUCAUUACAACCCUCAAGCUCAGCUUGGUGUUGGGCUCGCCCCUCGUGGGCCUGCCUCAAAAGCAGUGGCGGCUACGUCCGGUCUCAAGCGCAGUAAUACUCGCCGCUUGUUAGGCUCGGUCGGCGGCCUGCUAACAACCCCCACUUUUACAAGGUUGACCUCGGAUCAGGUAGGGAUACCCGCUGAACUUAA
This 200-nucleotide unclassified non-coding RNA is filed under the name soil metagenome. RNAcentral's name for it is "partial contains internal transcribed spacer 2 and large subunit ribosomal RNA". The record is from RNAcentral.